RNAcentral lists this transfer RNA (72 nucleotides) under Bambusicaliscelis flavus. RNAcentral describes it as "tRNA-His". Lineage: Eukaryota; Metazoa; Arthropoda; Insecta; Hemiptera; Caliscelidae. The record is from RNAcentral.
GUCUAUUUAGUUUAAGUAAUAUAAUUUAAAACAUUGAUUUGUGGAAUCAGGAAUUUUUUUUGAAAUUAGGCU